This is a small nuclear RNA of Rattus norvegicus (Norway rat), 162 nucleotides long. Ensembl annotates it as U1 spliceosomal RNA. Lineage: Eukaryota; Metazoa; Chordata; Mammalia; Rodentia; Muridae. The record is from Ensembl.
UUACCUACCUGGCCGGGGAAAUACUAUGAUCACAAAGUUAGUUUUCCCAGGCAAUGGUUAUCCAUUGCACUCUAGAUGUGAUCACUCUUUAAUUUCUGCAAACGUGGGAAACUUGACAGCAAAAUUUGUGGUAGGGGAAGACUGUGAUCACACUCUCCUCUA